This 388-nucleotide long non-coding RNA is filed under the name Phaseolus vulgaris (common bean). RNAcentral's name for it is "long non-coding RNA (PVUL_LNC003634)". The record is from RNAcentral. Lineage: Eukaryota; Viridiplantae; Streptophyta; Magnoliopsida; Fabales; Fabaceae.
AAACACUUUUAUUAGCACAAGAGAGUCUAUACACAAAGUCUACUCACAAUACAAUGUGUAGCAUCUAAGCUCAUAAAGUUUCUAUAUAUUGACCUUAGAAUAAGGAGUAAUAUAAAAUCAUUCGGAACAAAGUGUUUAAGACAGUUACAACGAACACAUAUUAGACGGUCUCACUCGUCUUAACACUACUAGAAUGUCCCUAGUAGAUGGUCUUUUUCUCUUUCACAUCAGCUGGUUUAACCAAGUUUGACUAAAAAGUAGACAGUCAGUUGUAGUAAAUGAUUUAGAGCCAACCAUCACAAAGUUGUUAAUGAAGACCGAAGGAAGAUCCAUCGGUAGAAGAUUCUUUGACACUUAAGUAAGAGUUAGAGAAACUGUAAAAUAUAAG